UCUCCCCCAUGGCCCCAUCGACCCCCAUCACACAUCUGAAUAUAUUCACCUGCCUGCACUUCCAUGACUAAAAGUCUAAAACUGAACCAAAUUGUGCGUGCGUAAGUCAAGUCAAGUCAACACAUGGUUGUAUUAUAACCAAUGAUUUAGGGCUACUGCCAUAGGUUCGCUUUCCUAAUUGCAGACGUACAUGAAUAAACAGCUCCAUCACUAUGAUAUGGUAAUAGUUUGAGUGAGCCGACAAAUAUUUUAUCAUGGUUAAAUUUGAUGUUCCUGGCAUAACAGAUCCGCUCAUCUACUUGACGUCAUCGGUUACAUCAACAGAAAAAUUGUUACUCCGAUAUGGAUACAUCAUGUGUCAUAUACCAGUAAAAAAUGUAUCUCUAAGUAAGUAUAUUUGUCCAAAGUAUACAUGUGAAGUUAUCAUGCAGUUGAUGCAAAAUGGGAAAAAAAUAAAGCACUCCAUUUUUUAUGCAAAUGGGAAAAUAAUUAUAUCCAUUUGAGCUCAAGGGCUCUGGAUUUUUCACUUACAUGCUUGACUACUUUUUGUUGUCACUAUCUAGCGACGAAUGAGAUAAAUAAAAACAUUGCUACCUUACUUACCUAUUGACUUGCUUGCUUUGUGCCACAACAUUUCAGUGCGACCUACUGAGUUAUAUUUGACUUGCUGCUAGUAGUAACCAGGAGUAUUUGUAUUAUUCAAUACUAGUAUUCAGUGUGAAGAAAUUCUACUCAGUGUUGGCCUACUACUAUGGUUUGCCGGUAAUUAAAGAUCUAUCUAGGUACUUUCUGCGUGGGUCAUGCAUGCUGUGUACUUUCUUUAUUAGUAUUACCAAAUGCCAUUAUUCAUAACAGCCCCCUCGUAGGCAACUUAUGCCUUUUUUGUCUAGCUCUUUGGUGCAGUUUUAUGUUUUUUAACGGCUUGAAAUAACAUGGUUUAGCUUGUAUUUCGUGUGGUUAAUUACAUUUAUCUGGGAGAAUAAGGUCCAUGGAAAAAACUGGGGGUUUACAACAUCUUGAGUCUCUAUAUUCGUUUACAUACAUUUUGAGUUAAAUCUGAGAGUUCUUGCAUGGGACACAGUUUCCGGCAUUUUAUUUACCUUUCCUUCUUCCCCUCCAUUAUUUAUUUAUGUGGAAUCUAUUCUAUGUUAAGAUGUAGCAUCUUUAGAUUGCAUAUGAGCCAGUUAGGUUUUUUGACUGCACACAAAUCCGCUGCCACCUCCUCUCUGCUUCCUCGGCUGCAGCGUCGCCGCUCCUCCUGUGUCUGGGCUGGACGGUAGCUGCCGGCCGGAGGGUUGCGCACUUCUUCGGCACACACACACAAUGGUCGACUGGCUUCGCCAAGGUACGUUCAUGUGCGCUGGCACAGGCCGAGCUUGCAUGGAAUGACGACCCGCCGCACGCCCUGUAUUGAUCAGCUACCAGUGGAGCCGGAUGUGGUCGCCUACUUUGUCGCACAACUCCUUUGACCAUCACGUACAACCCAACCUGGGUGCUGCAGGAGAGGAGAUCAGAUGUAUGGAAACAAAAGAAAAGGCUGCAAGUCAUGGUUGUUUAUACGAGAGGAGAUGGUGGACCUGCAGACACCUUUGAUUUCGUUAAAUCCUGUGGAGGGAAGGGGAGAUUAUGGAUGGAUGGAGCUUGGUUGAAAUUGGGUUGCUGUUGCAUUGGCAUUUAAGACUCAAGAGAAUGUUCCUUCCCAAAGAAGAGGUCGGGCGUUCUCGUUGGCGACUCUAGCGGUUGAAUUCAUCAGCUUAUCUAGAUUAGCUAGUGUUGGUGUUGCUAUUUAUGGAUUUGUGGUGAAGAGGAACAACCAUCCUGGUUGCUGCCUGCACGUGUUUCAAGUUUUGUUGUUGAUUAACUUGGUAGUCAUUGCUUCAAUGAUAUCUUUAUCAAGUUAAUUUAUGAACAUACAUGUAUUUCUUCCAAAUCUUCAUAUGUGAAAAUUUUCAUGUCUGUUGCUACUUA
Long non-coding RNA from Hordeum vulgare subsp. vulgare (domesticated barley), 1968 nucleotides. RefSeq lists it as uncharacterized. The transcript is spliced from 3 exons. Lineage: Eukaryota; Viridiplantae; Streptophyta; Magnoliopsida; Poales; Poaceae. The record is from RefSeq and is a predicted model, not a curated record.